CAAGUUCUUUGGGUCAGUAGUAGGUUAAGGACUCGCAACUUUAUCUAGAGAAGGUGAAGAAGAUCACCCAAAUUAUGCAUGUUUCUGAGAAGGAGAGUGUUGAGUUAGUAUCUUAUAGGUUGAAGGAUAUUGCUCAUAAUUGGGUAGUGAUGUUGGAAUAGAAUAGAGGGGAGAAUGCAGCACCUGUGAUUUGUCUAGAGUUUCAGAGUGCCUUUCUAGAUAGGUUUUUUCUGCUAGAGUUG
This 242-nucleotide long non-coding RNA is filed under the name Capsicum annuum. RNAcentral's name for it is "long non-coding RNA (CANN_LNC008129)". Lineage: Eukaryota; Viridiplantae; Streptophyta; Magnoliopsida; Solanales; Solanaceae. The record is from RNAcentral.